Molecule: ribosomal RNA, 432 nt
Filed under: uncultured bacterium
Lineage: Bacteria
Description: bacterial SSU rRNA
Rfam family: Bacterial small subunit ribosomal RNA
Source: RNAcentral
AGAGGAUGAUCAGCCACACUGGAACUGAGACACGGUCCAGACUCCUACGGGAGGCAGCGAGUGGGGAAUAUUGCGCAAUGGGCGAAGCCUGACGCAGCCACGCCGCGUGAGCGAUGAAGGCCUUCGGGUCGUAAAGCUCUGUGGGGAGAGAAGAAUAAAGCCUGUGAAGAAUGGGCCUUGACGGUAUCUCCUUAGCAAGCACCGGCUAACUCCGUGCCAGCAGCCGCGGUAAUACGGAGGGUGCAAACGUUGCUCGGAAUCAUUGGGCGUAAAGCGCACGUAGGCGGCGAAGCAAGUCGGGUGUGAAAGCCCUGGGCUCAACCCAGGAAGUGCAUUCGAAACUAUUUCGCUUGAAUCUCGGAGGGGGUCAGAGAAUUCCCGGUGUAGAGGUGAAAUUCGUAGAUAUCGGGAGGAAUACCAGUGGCGAAGGCG